AACCCUGCCAAACCCUACAAGAUCGUUUCCUAUUCUCCUCUGGUGAUUCAUGAUGGAAGAUGAUAAUAUGAAUGAUAUGGAAGACUACUUAUUUACACCAGUUUGGGAGAAACGGGCAGAAUCAUUAAUACUCAACAUCAAGCCUCAACAAACAUAAAGGGACAAGGAAGGAGUACAAAAAAAACAUGAAAGUAAUUCGUCAAAGCUGAGCGGUUGAUUUUGAAUUUUUGGUAUCGUAUUUGUACUUCUUAAAUUUUACUAAACUUUAUGUUUUUUGAACGGAAUUGAUUACGAACAAGUAAGGAUUGCAUUUUAA
Long non-coding RNA from Helianthus annuus (common sunflower), 316 nucleotides. RefSeq lists it as uncharacterized. The record is from RefSeq and is a predicted model, not a curated record. The transcript is spliced from 2 exons. NCBI's taxonomy places the organism in Eukaryota, Viridiplantae, Streptophyta, Magnoliopsida, Asterales, Asteraceae.